RNAcentral lists this ribosomal RNA (724 nucleotides) under uncultured eukaryote. Its description in RNAcentral is "bacterial SSU rRNA". It matches the Rfam family "Eukaryotic small subunit ribosomal RNA", at positions 672 to 1426 of the family's 1831-position model. The record is from RNAcentral.
GAAUAUUCAUCAUGUAUGCUUUUCUAAUUAUAAGGGGGGUGGGGGAUGAAGAGGAAACUUUUCGAGCCACACACCGGAAUUUACUUUGAGGAAAUUAAAGUGUUCAUAGCAAAUAAGUGUUUGAAUACUACAGCAUGGAAUAACAAAUAGGACUUUGGUAUUGUUUUGUUGGAGUAGAGAAACCAAAGUAAAGAUGAAUAGGGACAGUUGGGGGCAUUGGAAUUUGAUAGUCAGAGGUGAAAUUCAUGGAUUUAUCAAAGACCAACAAAGGCGAAAGCAUUUGCCAAGGAUGUUUUCAUUGAUCAAGAACGAAAGUCAGGGGAUCGAAGACGAUUAGAUACCGUCGUAGUCUUGACCGUAAACGAUGCCGACUUGGGGGAGGUGCGAGAUGAGAAGCGCAUCACAACCAAAGGAGAAAUCAAAGUGUAUGGGUUCUGGGGGGAGUAUAGUCGCAAGGCCGAAACUUGAAGGAAUUGACGGAAGGGCACCACCAGGAGUGGAGCCUGCGGCUUAAUUUGACUCAACACGGGAAAACUUACCAGGUCCGGACAUGAUGAGGAUUGACAGAUUGAGAGCACUUUUAAGAUUUCAUGGGAGGUGGUGCAUGGCCGUUCUUAGUUGGUGGAGUGAUUUGUCAGGUUAAUUCCGAUAACGAGCGAGGCCCUGUGAUGACGGUAAUGAUUGAGUAUGUAAAUACGCGAGACGUUUCUUCAUCGACACCCCA